Molecule: ribosomal RNA, 441 nt
Filed under: uncultured bacterium
Lineage: Bacteria
Description: partial 16S ribosomal RNA
Rfam family: Bacterial small subunit ribosomal RNA
Source: RNAcentral
CUACGGGUCGCUCCAGUGGGGAAUAUUGGGCAAUGGGCGCAAGCCUGACCCAGCAACGCCGCGUGAGGGAAGAAGGUUCUCGGAUUGUAAACCUCUGUCCUUGGGGACGAGGAAAGUGACGGUACCCAAGGAGGAAGCUCCGGCUAACUACGUGCCAGCAGCCGCGGUAAUACGUAGGGAGCAAGCGUUGUCCGGAAUUACUGGGCGUAAAGGGUGCGUAGGCGGCAUAUUAAGUCAGGUGUGAAAUAUUCGGGCUCAACCCGAAGGCUGCAUUUGAAACUGGUAUGCUUGAGUGUGGAGAGGAAAGUGGAAUUCCUAGUGUAGCGGUGAAAUGCGUAGAUAUUAGGAGGAACACCAGUGGCGAAGGCGACUUUCUGGCUCAUAACUGACGCUGAGGCACGAAAGCGUGGGUAGCAAACAGGAUUAGAUACCCUUGUAGUC